This 725-nucleotide ribosomal RNA is filed under the name uncultured bacterium. RNAcentral describes it as "bacterial SSU rRNA". It matches the Rfam family "Bacterial small subunit ribosomal RNA", at positions 771 to 1501 of the family's 1533-position model. The record is from RNAcentral.
AACAGGAUUAGAUACCCUGGUAGUCCACGCCCUAAACGAUGUCUACUAGUUGUCGGGUCUUAAUUGACUUGGUAACGCAGCUAACGCGUGAAGUAGACCGCCUGGGGAGUACGGUCGCAAGAUUAAAACUCAAAGGAAUUGACGGGGACCCGCACAAGCGGUGGAUGAUGUGGAUUAAUUCGAUGCAACGCGAAAAACCUUACCUACACUUGACAUGUCGCAAAUCCAUAAGAGAUUUUGGAGUGCUCGAAAGAGAAUGCGAACACAGGUGCUGCAUGGCUGUCGUCAGCUCGUGUCGUGAGAUGUUGGGUUAAGUCCCGCAACGAGCGCAACCCUUUUCAUUAGUUGCUACGCAAGGGCACUCUAAUGAUACUGCCGGUGACAAACCGGAGGAAGGUGGGGAUGACGUCAAGUCCUCAUGGCCCUUAUGUGUAGGGCUUCACACGUCAUGCAAUGGUCGGUACAGAGGGUCGCCAACCCGCGAGGGGGAGCCAAUCCCAGAAAACCGAUCGUAGUCCGGAUCGCACUCUGCAACUCGAGUGCGUGAAGUCGGAAUCGCUAGUAAUCGCGGAUCAGCAUGUCGCGGUGAAUACGUUCCCGGGUCUUGUACACACCGCCCGUCACACCAUGGGAGUGGGUUUUACCAGAAGUAGUUAGCUUAACCGCAAGGAGGGCGAUUACCACGGUAGGGCUCAUGACUGGGGUGAAGUCGUAACAAGGUAACC